GAUGAACGCUGGCGGCGUGCCUAAUACAUGCAAGUCGAGCGAACAGACGAGGAGCUUGCUCCUCUGACGUUAGCGGCGGACGGGUGAGUAACACGUGGAUAACCUACCUAUAAGACUGGGAUAACUUCGGGAAACCGGAGCUAAUACCGGAUAAUAUAUUGAACCGCAUGGUUCAAUAGUGAAAGACGGUUUUGCUGUCACUUAUAGAUGGAUCCGCGCCGCAUUAGCUAGUUGGUAAGGUAACGGCUUACCAAGGCAACGAUGCGUAGCCGACCUGAGAGGGUGAUCGGCCACACUGGAACUGAGACACGGUCCAGACUCCUACGGGAGGCAGCAGUAGGGAAUCUUCCGCAAUGGGCGAAAGCCUGACGGAGCAACGCCGCGUGAGUGAUGAAGGUCCUCGGAUCGUAAAACUCUGUUAUUAGGGAAGAACAAAUGUGUAAGUAACUAUGCACGUCUUGACGGUACCUAAUCAGAAAACCACGGCUAACUACGU
This 496-nucleotide ribosomal RNA is filed under the name uncultured bacterium. RNAcentral describes it as "partial 16S ribosomal RNA". It matches the Rfam family "Bacterial small subunit ribosomal RNA", at positions 28 to 506 of the family's 1533-position model. The record is from RNAcentral.